GACGAACGCUGGCGGCGGGCUUAACACAUGCAAGUCGAACGGAAAGGCCCUGCUUUUGUGUGGUGCUCGAGUGGCGAACGGGUGAGUAACACGUGAGUAACCUGCCCUUGACUUUGGGAUAACUUCAGGAAACUGGGGCUAAUACCGGAUAGGAGCUCCUGCUGCAUGGUGGGGGUUGGAAAGUUUCGGCGGUUGGGGAUGGACUCGCGGCUUAUCAGCUUGUUGGUGGGGUAGUGGCUUACCAAGGCUUUGACGGGUAGCCGGCCUGAGAGGGUGACCGGCCACAUUGGGACUGAGAUACGGCGCAGACUCCUACGGGAGGCAGCAGUGGGGAAUAUUGCACAAUGGGCGGAAGCCUGAUGCAGAAACGCCGCGUGCGGGAUGCCGGCCUUCGGGUUGUAAACCGCUUUAGCCUGUGACGAAGCGUGAGUGACGGUAAUGGGUAAAGAAGCACCGGCUAACUACGUG
RNAcentral lists this ribosomal RNA (468 nucleotides) under uncultured bacterium. RNAcentral describes it as "partial 16S ribosomal RNA". It matches the Rfam family "Bacterial small subunit ribosomal RNA", at positions 28 to 507 of the family's 1533-position model. The record is from RNAcentral.